Molecule: ribosomal RNA, 467 nt
Filed under: uncultured bacterium
Lineage: Bacteria
Description: partial 16S ribosomal RNA
Rfam family: Bacterial small subunit ribosomal RNA
Source: RNAcentral
ACUCACGCUGGCGGCGUGCUUAACACAUGCAAGUCGAACGGAAAGGCCCUGCUUUUGUGGGGUGCUCGAGUGGCGAACGGGUGAGUAACACGUGAGUAACCUGCCCUUGACUUUGGGAUAACUUCAGGAAACUGGGGCUAAUACCGGAUAGGAGCUCCUGCUGCAUGGUGGGGGUUGGAAAGUUUCGGCGGUUGGGGAUGGACUCGCGGCUUAUCAGCUUGUUGGUGGGGUAGUGGCUUACCAAGGCUUUGACGGGUAGCCGGCCUGAGAGGGUGACCGGCCACAUUGGGACUGAGAUACGGCCCAGACUCCUACGGGAGGCAGCAGUGGGGAAUAUUGCACAAUGGGCGGAAGCCUGAUGCAGCAACGCCGCGUGCGGGAUGACGGCCUUCGGGUUGUAAACCGCUUUCGCCUGUGACGAAGCGUGAGUGACGGUAAUGGGUAAAGAAGCACCGGCUAACUACGUG